RNAcentral lists this unclassified non-coding RNA (164 nucleotides) under uncultured Chaetothyriales. Its description in RNAcentral is "sequence contains ITS2". Lineage: Eukaryota; Fungi; Ascomycota; Eurotiomycetes; Chaetothyriales. The record is from RNAcentral.
UCACAAUAUCAAGCUUGGCUUGUUGUUGGGCCCUUUGUCACCUAGUGACAGGUCCAAAAGAUAAUAACCGGUGUCAUACAGACUCUAUAUGCAACGAGCUUUAUAACAGCACGCAUCUGGUAGUCGUGUGGCCCGGUUCUCACUUUGAUAAGUAUAUUUCUCAA